AUGGGUUCUCUCCAUCAGCUGAGAUAUCUCGACCUAUCAUAUUCACAGUUCAUUGGAAGGAUACCACCGCAGAUGGGUAAUCUCUCCAACUUAGGAUACUUAAAUCUUGCGACCGAAAAUGAUGAGAGUUAUGAUUAUUCUUUCCAUCAUGGCACAUACUCCACUGAUAUCACAUGGUUGUCACGGUUAACUUCACUUGAGCACCUAGAUAUGGCCGAAGUGAACCUCAGUACAAUUGUUCACUGGCUUCCCGUGGUGAACAUGCUUCCAACUCUGAAAGUUCUUGAUCUUUCCUCUUGCCAGCUUAGAAGUAGCCCUGACUCUCUUCAGCUCUCAAACCUUACAUCUCUUGAAGCACUCCACCUUCCAUACAAUGAGUUCCAUAAGCCUAGCACGCCCAACUGGUUUUGGGAUUUAACUAGCCUCAAGCAUCUAGACAUCUCGUUGAAUGGUUUCUAUGGCUCAUUUCCAAACGAGAUGGUUAAUAUGACCUCCAUGGUGGAACUUUCGUUAUUAUAUAAUAACCUUGUGGGCAUGAUACCUGCCGGUAUGAAGAACCUAUGUAAUUUGGAGGCAUUAUCUUUAUCAGGCAACAAUAUCAAUGGAAAUAUACAAGAAUUUUUCAAUCAAUUGCCCAGUUGUUCACAGAAUAAACUACAAUCGUUAUCUGCAUCAAACUGCAAUCUGACUAGAAGCCUGCCAACCACACCAGUAGAAUCCCUAAGCAACAUAAGUCAGCUGUUUCUCGAUAAGAACAAACUCACUGGUCAUUUGCCGGCGGUGUGGUUAGGGGAGCUCACAAAUCUAGCAAUGUUGGACCUUGGCUCCAACAACCUGGAUGGGGUCAUACAUGAGGGCCAUUUAUCACGUCUAGAGAUGUUAUACCUAUUGGACUUGUCAGAUAACUCCAUAGCCAUCACAGUUAGUGCAACAUGGGUUCCUCCUUUCAGUCUAGGAGAAAUUUACCUUCGGUCCUGCCAGCUAGGGCCUAAAUUUCCAGUGUGGCUUCAAUGGCAAACACAAGUAAGGAGUCUUGAUAUAUCGAACACAAGCAUCAAUGAUAUUGUACCAGAUUGGUUUUGGAUAACAGUUUCCACAGCUAUGGUUAUCAAUAUCCGAAAUAAUGAGAUUAAAGGAGUCCUCCCGUCAACAAUGGAAUUUAUGAUUGCGUUAGAAAUGGAUUUCAGUUCUAACCAGCUUGGUGGUUCAAUAAGUAAGUUUCCCAUCAGUCUAACCGACCUGGAUCUCAGUCGGAACAAUAUAGUUGGACCACUACCAUCAGACUUUGGAGCGCCAGGACUUCGAACACUUCUUCUAUACGACAACAUGAUCUCUGGCGCCAUUCCAUCUUCUUUGUGCAAGUUGCGAUCAUUGCAGCUGUUAGACCUAUCAAGAAAUAAUCUCAAUGGGUCAAUUACUGAUUGCAUAGUCAAUGUAUCUAGCACAUACAUGACAGGCCUGAGUAUCAUUAAUCUAAGUUUCAGAAACAACAACCUCUCUGGUGAAUUUCCUUCACUUCUGCAGAAAUGCCCCCAACUCAUCUUUCUUGAUCUCGGACAUAAUCAAUUCUCUGGGACUUUACCAGCAUGGAUUGGGGAGAAGCUAUUGUCUUUGUCAUUCCUACGACUGAGAUCCAAUAUGUUUUAUGGUCACAUUCCAGUCGAGCUUACGAAGCUUGUUCAUCUUCAAUAUUUGGACCUUGCCAACAAUAAUAUCUCAGGGAGCAUACCAAGAUCUAUCAUCCAUUGGACAGCCAUGCAACAAGCAAGAGGCACCUUUGUUUAUCUUCAACAUGCAAUCAGUUAUGGUGGUGCACGGUUCGGUGACAAUAAUCCAGUUGACUAUACUGAGAAUUUGACAGUACUCACAAAAGGUCAAGAGCGAUUAUAUACAGGAGAACUUAUAUAUAUGGUGAAUCUUGAUUUAUCAUGUAAUAGUCUUACCGGAGAGAUUCCUGAAGAAAUUAAUACUCUUAUGGAAUUGAAGAACCUGAACUUAUCAUGGAACAACUUCAAUGGAAAAAUCCCUGAGAAUGUUGGUGCCUUAAUGAAAGUGGAGUCACUCGACCUAUCACACAAUGAUUUGUCUGGUGAAAUCCGUUCAAGCUUAUCGGCUCUCACGUCACUGAGUCACCUGAACCUGUCCUACAACAAUCUCAGAGGAAAGAUACCAACUGGAAAUCAACUGCAAACACUCGAAGACCCAGCAUAUAUUUAUAUUGGCAACCCCGGCCUCUGCGGUCCUCCUCUCUCUAUAAAUUGUUCGACACAACCCGGGCCAAUUCCAGGAGAGCACCAUGGAGAUGCAACUGGCGACUUGGUUUCGUUUUUCCUCGCCAUGAGCUCUGGAUAUGUGACGGGUCUCUGGGUGGUCUUCUGUACCUUCUUGUUCAAGAGGAGAUGGAGAGUUUCGUGGUACUCGCUCUGUGACAGCCUGUAUGACCGGGCUUAUGUGCAAGUGGCUGUUACCUGGGCUUCCUUGAGAGGUAAAAUUAAUGGGUAG
RNAcentral lists this ribosomal RNA (2502 nucleotides) under Triticum aestivum (bread wheat). RNAcentral describes it as "partial small subunit ribosomal RNA". Lineage: Eukaryota; Viridiplantae; Streptophyta; Magnoliopsida; Poales; Poaceae. The record is from RNAcentral.